Molecule: non-coding RNA, 6053 nt
Organism: Rhopilema esculentum
Lineage: Eukaryota; Metazoa; Cnidaria; Scyphozoa; Rhizostomeae; Rhizostomatidae
Source: RefSeq, a predicted model, not a curated record
UAUGACCUACCUUUGUGCUUUGAAAACCAAUGGCGAUUGCAAGAUUGUGUUACUAAACAGACAAAUGGUUAAUAAAAUGAGGUGAUUUGAGGUCGUAAAAAAUACUAAAUUGCUGGAUUUUAUCGACAAGGCUUGAAUUGAAUCAAUGAACCAAAUUCUCCAACAUGAUGCAAACAAAAUUGCUUUCUGCAAAACUACUCAAUCAAUAAAAAGUUAACGGCUGCUAUAUGACGAGAAUAGUGUUUUGAAACUCUUUCGUAUAGCGGUCUGUUCAUCAGCGGGUCAAGUAAGACAUUGUCAAAGUAAUCUAAGAUGUUUAAUAAAGGCAAUCGCUUCUAAAUCUAUGUCUUUAGGGAAAAUCAAGUCUUGCUGUAGCAAUUUUAGCAGAAGAUAACUAAGACACUCGUAGUAAAAGGAGCUUCAUUACGUUUGUGAUAAAAUAUAAAUUGUUGUAUUUUCAACCUUCGUUGGAUCUUUGUUUCGUGAUUCAAAUGUAGGCCAGUUACUUUCACAGUCCUCUAACCUUCGGGAGUCAGAACUAGAAUCAAGAAACAGUAUACUCCCGUUCAGUCAAACCAUACAGGGGGCAUAGAAUAUCUGUCCCCCUUAGCAAAUGCCCCGGAGAAGCGAAUCUCUUAAUAAGUGGGACAAAAGGAGAGAAAGAUAAAAAUUCCCAUUUGUUUAUAAGUUGUAUGAAUCGAGAAGUGAAGGAGACAGCUAAUCUACACAUUUUGAGAAAGCUUAAAGGAAUUAACUUGAAAUCUAAUUUUUUGCACAGUUCGAAAGCGGAAAGGGAAAGUUGAAUAUUUUGGGUAAGUCUCUUUAUUUAUAAGAAAACUUUCUCUUACCAGGUGAAGAGGCAGUAGUUUCACAGUUAUAACAAAUAUAGGACCGGAAUAGCGAACCUUGAAAAGAUGAUGUGACUAAUUUAAUGUCAUAGACGUCAAGGAGACUGCUGAUCGAAUUAGGAAAUCAUCAAUCGUUAGGGUCAAGAAAAGAUCCUUUUGGGUAUAUGACAUUCAGCAAAUCGUUUCACCUUGCUAGAUAUCCAUCGAGGGCACCGUCCCCCAACCUGCAUGUAGAGGUUAGGGUAUCCUGAACUAUAUGAGUUAAUCUUUUUAUUUCGUAAUCUGAAGGAAGAAACGAGUUACGAGAUCAAAGAUCAAUGGAAACUCAUUUGACAACACAUCAUAUGCUAAGGAUUGUGUAGAAAGCGUUUGGUGUUGUUUUACAGCACUGUCUCUUGUAAGGAAUGUAGAAACCUCAAAAUUCAUUAUCACACUAAUCAUUGGACAACAGCAUGUAUGGAUCGGGUGGAAUUGAAUGCUCUCAUAGAAGGCAUCACCUAUUUUAUCAUCCCUGACCACUAAAGGUUACAUGAAAUCGACUCUUGUGUGCCUGGGGGUGUGUUGUUGCAUGACUGCAAGAAGAUGUUAAGUGGAAAAGUUGAAAGAAAUAUUAUGCAUUUGUUAACGAUGUUGCAAUACUGGAUCAAAAUUAACAACAUUCCUGAUGUUCUUCACAACCUUAGGACAUUUUUCAAAGGGUUGUGAAAGGUUUCAUUGCAGGAAACAAAUCAGAAUGUAAAGAUUGGAUUUCUUAGCGUUCUGAGAAGCCAAAGUCAUCAUAAAUUUUCCUUACAAGAUGCAUUGGGUCUUCAGUGGUUGCUUGCUAAACACAAAGAGUGGUGCAUAACAGAAAAGUUCCAAGUUUGCUUAUGACUCAGCACAACGUCAUGGAAGCUGAUGAUGUACCCAUAAUAAAAACCUUUAACUCUGCAUGUCUGUCAAGGGAUAAGUCUGUAAGCUAACCAUUUUGGUAAAUAAAUCUCUUGAAAAUAUGAAGUCAUUUCUUGAAAAACGAAUAGGCUUUUUAACGAUUGUUAUGAUGUUGUGACAGUUUGUUCCACAUCUGUUGAGCCGAUGUCUGCUUUGAGUAAAUUCAAUUUUGAUAACGGUAUCACACUGAAGGUUUGAUCGGUCAAAACAAGUUAUAUUUCUGUUGCAAUAAUGUCAUAGCUUGCCUUCUUUUACUUUUCUUCAAACAUUUUGGGAUCGUUGUGGUGAACUUGAACAUUUUUAAGAACACCUUUGCAAACGCGAAUGCAAAUCUAUUUCUAGAUUGCAUCACAUUCGAGCAAGUGACGUCAUGCCUAAAAAAGCUUUCUACUCACUUUUUUUUAAAAACAUUCUAGUUAGUUCUUGUUUUCCAAGAGCUUAUGAUUACGCAGUUUGAUUUUAUCAACUUCCGUCAACUCAGUCUGUCAUUUUCCAUUCACUAUUAAUCUAGUCUGUCAUUUUUCCAUUCACUUUCAAGAUUGACGCAAAGUAACGAAACUCAUAUUGAAGACCCAAAUAGCCUCAAUUCAGAUGAGUUGAAAAUGUUCAAUUCAGGCUGUUGUGGCGUCGAAAGUCUGUAGGACGCUGUUUUUAGUAACUGCGGAAUUAAACUUUCCUAAUGCUAAUUGACGACGUGUUAAUGAUAAUUUGAGGUGAAAGCUCGUCCUUUCACUAACGAGUUUGGAAUUUGCGGACGUCAAAGCUAUAUAGUCCAGAUCUUUCAGUGGUAGAAAGAAAUUGAACUCUUAUCUGGAACCUUAAAGUACGUCAAAGAUUAAAGAAUUGAAGAAGAUGGAAGUUGUCUGGACGCAUACAGUCACUCCAUGAAGACACACCUGCCCGAAAGUCAGCAAGGCAGGAAAAUUCACCACGGACAAAAAAGGCUGAAAUACCACGGACAAAUCUACCGUGGAAGCUAAAUGAGAAUGUAACAAAAUAUACAACAAGUGGCAUGAAGCUGAAAACAAAUGAAGACCUUCGAAAAGUCUAAAGAAAUCACACAAGACAGGAAGAAAUGGAAAAAACUGAUAAAUGGCAUUAAUAGAACCGCUAAAGCAGAGAAGAAUUAAGUAAUUAUGGUUUUGGAUGCAACAUAGCUUUAAAUAUAACUCCUUUUGAGUAGUUAAACGGACCUUGUUAGUGUUUCUAAAAUUGGUGUAAAAUGUGUUUGGUCUUUAGAUAAGAUGAAUGUGAUCUUUUAUAUGAAAGAUUUGCUCAGAAUUUCGAUAUGAUACCAUCAAUUAAUGCUUAAUUGUUGUCAGUCUGUAAGUAGUUUCUUUUUGGCUCAUUAGUCAACAAGUCAAGUGAUGUAUUAUUUUCUAGAAAUUAAAACUUUUUCAUAUCUUUUUCAUGAAAGAUCCUUUAUCAAUGCCCAUUAUUAAUCUUAUCCUCACUGAGUUAAAAGACUUCCUGAGAAGACCAAAAUUUCUAUCAACCUAUCUUUUAAUUGACAAGUAUAAUUUUCAUGAUGAUUAUCCAAGAAACCUAUGAAUAUAUAACGGUCUUUGUACUUUGUUCUCUAUAUUUGUCCUUAUUGAGGGGAAUCCAGCUGAUGACAAUAGCAGGAGGUUAGCUUAAAAAGAGGCUCCACCUUCUCAGACAGUUAUAAAUUUAAUGAAAGGACUUGAUGAUAAAGAAAUGAUAUUCUAGAGAUAAUUUAGUUGAGUUGUGGAAAGCAGUUCUUGUCUAUCCGUUAGGAUCAUAACCCUAUUGACUAUUGUUUCUUUCUUGCAAUGACCUGAAGACUCUUGGAGCAUUUAAACUUGCUCUUUUGUUGGUUUUCAAGUGAAUAUUUUUGAGUAGAUAUUUUGCAAAAGAACAUUUUUCUGCCUUAUCAUAAAUCUUUAUUGUAAAGCAUUCAGUUGCCCUCAAGUCUAAGACUUAUGCUCUGCUAGGCAAACAUUUUCAAUAAAGGCAUGUCAAAAUAACAGGAGGCACAACACAGAAGAAGCGCUUUCAAUCUGGACUAUUUUCCCUUGAAUUGAAUUGUCAAUUUGUAUUUUUUUCAACCAGCAUCUGAAGGUAGUUGUUUUAGGACAUUGGUCCUUCCUCUAGAUGUGGCCACACCUCGUAAUACCUACGCCUGGAAUUGCAGAGAGCUGGUGACUCUCUUCACUCUGGGUGAAUGUUUGGUUAUGUCAGGGGUUCGAUCCUCAUAUCUUUAGACCUGUAGUCCACGACCCUAACCACUGGGCCAUCUGCACACUUUGUUUAUGCAUAGGAAAAACAUAGAAUUGUUAAUAGAUAGGUGGAAAUCUCCUAACACAACUAGUAAACAUGUUUUGUUUCUGAUCUUUGUUAUUGUAUUCGAGGAUUAGCAGGUAGGUGAAUACGAAAAAUGUACACUGAUUGCGGGCACGCCUUUUUCGUUCGUAUUAUCUUUGCUACUACGAAUGUUAAAUCAUGAAUUGAAAAUAGCGAUUGUAUGAACGUUGGCUUGUAUGAUUGGAAUUCGCUUGGCAGUUGACAUAGGCGUAGUUUUAGAUCGCCUCAGGACGAGACAUGUUGACAAGAUCACUGAUAACAGAUGCAAAGUUCGAUUGCCCACGUCAUUUGUGGAUAAGAUAACGAUAACAAAAAACAUCACAAGCCAUUUUCUGUCAUUUGCAAAAAAGCUUCUUCUCAAUAAAUCUUUUUGUUUGAAAGAUUUCAAGUCUUACAAGGUUUUUAGCCUUUGGUUGAAAAUUGGAAUGCGAGAAAGAUUUCAGGGAGUGAAUAAAUAUGAUUUAUUUCAAAAUGUUCAUAGAGAAAAUACGGCGAGGAUGGGAUACAUUGAAAUGGGGUACAGUACCUUAUCUUCUAAUUGGAGAAUUUGUGGGAAGAAGUGUUUAUAGCUUACCCAACACAUUGAAUGAUCAUUCUUGAAAGGGAUAUGAUUGUUCUUGUGAGUAGACUUUAGUAUCCCAAUUUUGGCAGUGUUUGCAGAGAUGGACAGAUGUUAUAAGUGGGUGAAACUCGGAGUACAGUGCAGGUACAGAUCUUUCCUGCCAGUCUUGUUCUAACAAACAGAUUUAUCAAAACAUGUUUACUUGCUGGGAUAAAGCUGGUAAUCGUUUCAUCAACAGUGCUGUUAAUGUCUUUAAGUACUUAAUCAUUGAGUCUUAAUGUGCGAUAAAUCGAUUGAUGGUUGCUGCAGGUUUCAAGUGGGAAGAUUGAACGAGCACUUCGCUGAAAUACAGAGGGAUCUUUACCUUAGCAUUUCUAAUGCUUGAGUAUCUAACAUAAGAUAUUGCUGUUGACAAAAUUUUCCUGAUGUCAUUGCUAUGCACAUAAACCGACCAAAUUUUGAUUUUUCAUUAGUCCGUGCCAUAUAACCAAAACUUUAAACUUCAGUUUACGUUCUUGUCUUCGAUAAAUAGGAUUUAUGGUAGCAUUAAUCUGUCUUCUUGAAGCUCAAUGUUCUGAGGUCAUCCACAAGACACGCACGCACAUACCGUGUAUUCGAUUGUCCUAUUUAUAGUAUUUGAAUGAUAGCAAAUCUCUUGAAUUGUUUGUUCGAUUCGCAGUGCUACUUAUUUCAGGCAUCCUUUCGAUUAAUACAUUAGCAUUUUGUAGUACAGUGAAAUUCAGAGACGAACUUUUCGGGGGGAGUUGGAGUGCAACAACCCUUGAGCAAUUUUACAACAUUCGGUCUAUUUUGCUUGAUUUGGUAAGAGGAUUUUUUUGGUAGUCAGCAGUAACUGAAUGACGCAAAAAUCUACGUGGUUAAUUCUCCUAUCUUAUUUAUUUUGUAACUAGGUUAAUUUAUUUUGUUAUGCAAUAGAUCUUCCUGUAAGUUUUUAAAUGGUGGGCCCUUUGAAGCUGAAGAGCUACCUUCAAUAGACGUAUGAAUGAAAUGAAAAGUAGUCAAAACUUUCUUGGUAAAAUUUGCUAUUCCAUCUUUUUCUAGACAACUUUUGGGUAUGACACCAAAAGCCGAUCAUAGUCUAGCCCACACCCCAAAUUCUUUGCCUCUAAAAUCCGCGUUUUGCAAUAGUCUAUUUACGUGUUCAUGGAAAAUAAUGUUUGCUGCAUAGUAAUUUAGGCUUAAUUCUAUACUCUUCUGGUAGCCUUUAUUCGUAGUGGUGCUGAAGAUAUUAGGAAAAUAGAGUUGAUAAUUCAUUCCUAAAUUUUAAAAGACAUUAAGUGUAGUAUUAGGUUUAAAAUGAAAAAUAUAAGCUUAAGAAUCUAGCUUUGAUGCUAAUGAAGUAAUCGCAUUGAGGAAUCUUUUUAUAA